This 460-nucleotide ribosomal RNA is filed under the name uncultured bacterium. RNAcentral describes it as "partial 16S ribosomal RNA". It matches the Rfam family "Bacterial small subunit ribosomal RNA", at positions 338 to 795 of the family's 1533-position model. The record is from RNAcentral.
CCUACGGGAGGCAGCAGUGAGGAAUAUUGGUCAAUGGACGCAAGUCUGAACCAGCCAUGCCGCGUGCAGGAAGACGGCUCUAUGAGUUGUAAACUGCUUUUGUACGAGGGUAAACGCAGAUACGCGUAUCUGUCUGAAAGUAUCGUACGAAUAAGGAUCGGCUAACUCCGUGCCAGCAGCCGCGGUAAUACGGAGGAUUCAAGCGUUAUCCGGAUUUAUUGGGUUUAAAGGGUGCGUAGGCGGUCGGAUAAGUUAGAGGUGAAAUCCCGAGGCUCAACUUCGGAAAUGCCUCUGAUACUGUUCGGCGAGAGAGUAGUUGCGGUAGGCGGAAUGUAUGGUGUAGCGGUGAAAUGCUUAGAGAUCAUACAGAACACCGAUUGCGAAGGCAGCUUACCAAGCUACUUCUGACGUUGAGGCACGAAAGCGUGGGGAGCAAACAGGAUUAGAUACCCUAGUAGUC